GGCGGAUGUAGCCAAGUGGAUCAAGGCAGUGGAUUUGUGAUCC
RNAcentral lists this transfer RNA (43 nucleotides) under Liriope graminifolia. RNAcentral's name for it is "partial tRNA-His". The record is from RNAcentral. Lineage: Eukaryota; Viridiplantae; Streptophyta; Magnoliopsida; Asparagales; Asparagaceae.